This 253-nucleotide ribosomal RNA is filed under the name uncultured bacterium. RNAcentral's name for it is "partial 16S ribosomal RNA". It matches the Rfam family "Bacterial small subunit ribosomal RNA", at positions 524 to 776 of the family's 1533-position model. The record is from RNAcentral.
UACGUAGGGUGCAAGCGUUAAUCGGAAUUACUGGGCGUAAAGCGUGCGCAGGCGGUGAUAUAAGACAGUUGUGAAAUCCCCGGGCUCAACCUGGGAACUGCAUCUGUGACUGCAUCGCUGGAGUGCGGCAGAGGGGGAUGGAAUUCCGCGUGUAGCAGUGAAAUGCGUAGAUAUGCGGAGGAACACCGAUGGCGAAGGCAAUCCCCUGGGCCUGCACUGACGCUCAUGCACGAAAGCGUGGGGAGCAAACAGG